This 766-nucleotide ribosomal RNA is filed under the name uncultured Clostridium sp. RNAcentral describes it as "bacterial SSU rRNA". It matches the Rfam family "Bacterial small subunit ribosomal RNA", at positions 355 to 1081 of the family's 1533-position model. The record is from RNAcentral. Lineage: Bacteria; Bacillati; Bacillota; Clostridia; Eubacteriales; Clostridiaceae.
UAGCGUACAUUGCACAUCAGAAGCUACCAUCACUCGACUAGGAGGAAGGUCUAGGGGCUACGAUCGCAUAUCGGGGUCCCUGAAAUCGAGCAUCGACUAUGACAUCAGAGGUCUAAGCGUACCGAAAGCUCCAUCCGCAGGGAAGAAAAGACGGUACCUGACUAAGAAGGGCCCGGCUAACUGCGUGCCAGCCAGCCGCGGUAAUUACGAAAGGGGGCAAGCGUUACCCGGAUUUACUGGGUGUAAAGGGAGCGCCCAGGGGCGUGGCAAGUCAGAAGUGAAAGCGGGGCUCAAUACCCGGGACUGCUUUGGAAACUGUCAUGCUGGAGUGCAGGAGAGGCAGGCGGAAUUCCUAGUGUAGCUACCAAAUGCGUAGAUAUUAGGAGGAACACCCAGUGGCGAAGGCGGCCGGGCUGGACUGUAACUGAACUGAGGCUCGAAAGCGUGGGGACCCAAACAGGAUUAGAUACCCUGGUAGUCCACCCGUAAACGAUGAAUACUAGGUGUCGGGGGCCACAGGGCUUCGUUUGCCCCACGUAACGCAGUAAGUAUCCCACCUGGGGAGUACGUUCCAAGAAUGAAACUCAAAGGAAUUGACGGGACCCGCACAAGCGGUGGAGCAUGUGGGUUAAAUUCGAAGCAACGCGAAAGAACCUACCAAGCCUUGACACCCCAGUUGACCGUCCGGCAAUGCGGGGCUUUCCUNGGGGACAUUGGAGACAGGUGGUUCAUGGUUGUCGUCAGCCGUGUCGUGAGAUGUUGGGUU